Long non-coding RNA from Sinocyclocheilus anshuiensis, 1990 nucleotides. RefSeq lists it as uncharacterized. The transcript is spliced from 3 exons. Lineage: Eukaryota; Metazoa; Chordata; Actinopteri; Cypriniformes; Cyprinidae. The record is from RefSeq and is a predicted model, not a curated record.
UUUUUUUUUUUUCUUCCUCUCUUUUUAGUUUGCUCUUGAUGAAGCAAUAAUCACCUUUCUUAUUUUCUCACUUUGAAGAAAACACACGAUUUUUUGCUACACUUUAUAGCCUUGUGGAUGUGCCUUCCUGUGCAAUCAGAUUAAAUUCUUAAACUUUUCCCUGACUGGUGAUUUAUAACGGAAUAGAUGUAGGCUGCUUGUUUUUAUUGGGUUUUAAAUGUAAAUCUUCCUUGAUUUGAUCAAGUUUUAACUGAGGUUUCCACUGUGCCACGUUUUCACUUUUUUGUAGACAGAUUUUUUGGUUGCUUUCUUCUUCAGAGUUUUACGUCUUCCUUGAAGCAUUGAAAGAGUUGUGGAGUUUUAGCGCCGCACCCCUCCAUGUACUUGUUACAACGAUCGACCUGAACUACAGGGUGAUUACAUUCAUCUUUCAAGUAGUCUAAUGUAAAAAAGUCUGAAUUCUACCAGAACUAUAUUAGUUUUCCCUAGUGUGCAGUUGAAUGGUUUUUGGUGUGAUGAAGAGAGGCUGAUGAGUGCCGUCUGUCUGAAGAAAGCAGAGCCGUCAGAUCCUUUCAAACUAACAAUCAACCAAAUAAGAGCAAAGCCCUCCAAUCACAGAUCCUGCUACAGACCAGACCUUUGCCUUAACAGAUGAGCGGAUGAUUGUUGUUUUUACGGUCUUCAAGCCAUACUGGCUAGUUGAAUGACUAGGUGAAUGCAGACAGAAAUAGAGAGAGAGAUGCUAGAUGAACGGAUGCCUGAAGCAGAAUGCAGUCUUGACCAGAAAGCUCUCCCAUCUUCACACCCUGUUAGUUUCAUCAAGCAGUCUGGAAUGGUGCCUUUUGUACCUUGGCAGAACUGCUCACUUGCAGCUGGUGUUUGCUUUUGAACACCACUGUUCCUGUUACGCUUCAAGGUUGGGCUGUUACUGUCCCCACCUGAAGCUGGGUCUUCUCUUCCUUCCUUCUGUUCUGCUUUCAUUGGUCCGUGCGUUUCUGUGGUUAAAGGCCUUACUUGGAAAUCCCAAGAUGUGUUAAUGUGUCAUUGGAAGCUGUAAGAAUUUAUUCAGUGUUGAAUGAAACUGAUUUGUUCCUCUAUGCAGAUGGACUGCGUGUGACACGUGUAUCUAAACUCAGGAUCGAGUGCCGGGUUCGUCUUUACUGUCGGAGACUCCGUCAGUUUUUCUUCAGAUGUGAGGAGAGCCGUCAAGGAAACUGAUGCAGAUUUCGCUCUGUUCUGUUCCUGAAUGUCGUUCGCUCGUCCGGUUGAUUCUUGUGAUUGAAUGCUGGGAUGUUUGAGCAGAUGUUUGUCGUAUGGCCCAUCAUGCCUUCGUUUCAAACUAUAGCUGGAGUGUUGGUCAGUUAGCCACAUGUCCAUCACAUUAGCUGCAGCUCUUCGGUUUCCUCACACGUUUGACAUUAGUUUUGUUCACAGGCUCAGUGUUGUGCUAUUGCACGGCCCUGCCGUCUGUGUACCUGAGAAAUACUCCAUGUGACAGUUAGAAUGAAUAUAUUCAUAUUUAUAGUUCUCAAUAUAACUAGUAUUUAAAAGUAUGUAAAUGUGUGUGCGCCGCAUAUGCUUUGAUUUGAAGUGGCUGACGUUAGUAAAGCUGACGGUACAAUCUUACCGGUUGAAAAUCCGUUGUGUGUUUGUACGUUGGUGUGGCUGUACAGCACCCGUUCACCCGACAAUGACUAAAUCACCAAUUCAACGAUUGCCUGUUAUCUUGAAUUAUUAAGAUACUUGUAUAUUAUAUUUAGAGAUAGAAAAUGGGAGAGUGUGACAAGCAUAUAAGGUGUUUCUCACUGAUGCAGCUGUAGGUUUCCACACGCUGAGGAGCCUCUCAAAGCUUCCGCUGGUGUUUCUGUAGAAGAUGAAGUCUUUUUUUGUCAUGCCGUUUCUCAUCCUGCAGAAUGUGUUGCCAAAGUCUGUUUCAUGUUCUCUCCUUAGCUUAUUUCUGCAUGUGAAAACAACUUCACAAAUCAAGGUC